GAUGAACGCUGGCGGCGUGCCUAAUACAUGCAAGUCGAGCGAACGGACGAGAAGCUUGCUUCUCUGAUGUUAGCGGCGGACGGGUGAGUAACACGUGGAUAACCUACCUAUAAGACUGGGAUAACUUCGGGAAACCGGAGCUAAUACCGGAUAAUAUUUUGAACCGCAUGGUUCAAAAGUGAAAGACGGUCUUGCUGUCACUUAUAGAUGGAUCCGCGCUGCAUUAGCUAGUUGGUAAGGUAACGGCUUACCAAGGCAACGAUGCAUAGCCGACCUGAGAGGGUGAUCGGCCACACUGGAACUGAGACACGGUCCAGACUCCUACGGGAGGCAGCAGUAGGGAAUCUUCCGCAAUGGGCGCAAGCCUGACGGAGCAACGCCGCGUGAGUGAUGAAGGUCUUCGGAUCGUAAAACUCUGUUAUUAGGGAAGAACAUAUGUGUAAGUAACUGUGCACAUCUUGACGGUACCUAAUCAGAAAGCCACAGCUAACUACGUG
Molecule: ribosomal RNA, 497 nt
Filed under: uncultured bacterium
Lineage: Bacteria
Description: partial 16S ribosomal RNA
Rfam family: Bacterial small subunit ribosomal RNA
Source: RNAcentral